This 528-nucleotide ribosomal RNA is filed under the name Aliivibrio sp. RNAcentral's name for it is "partial 23S ribosomal RNA". It matches the Rfam family "Bacterial large subunit ribosomal RNA", at positions 1 to 543 of the family's 2925-position model. Lineage: Bacteria; Pseudomonadati; Pseudomonadota; Gammaproteobacteria; Vibrionales; Vibrionaceae. The record is from RNAcentral.
UAUUUUUAAAUAAGCUAUUAAGGGCUAAUGGUGGAUGCCUAGACUGUAAGAGGCGAUGAAGGACGUAUUAGACUGCGAUAAGCUUCGGGGAGUUGUCAAAAAACUUUGAUCCGAAGAUUUCCGAAUGGGGCAACCCAGCAUGGUGUGAAUCAUGUUACCCGAAAGGGGGCGAACCUGGUGAAGUGAAACAUCUCAGUAACCAGAGGAAGAGAAAUCAAAAGAGAUUCCCAUAGUAGCGGCGAGCGAAAUGGGAUUAGGACAAACCCAAUGCUUGCAUUGGGGGUUGUAGGACUACAACAUAAGACUAAAGAAGAUAGAUGAAUCAGCUGGAAAGUUGAGGCGUAGAGAGUGAAACCCUCGUAAUCGAAAUCUUCGAUAGCUUUAGUAGUAUCCUGAGUAGGACGGAACACGUGAUAUUUUGUCUGAAUCUAGGGGGACCACCCUCUAAUCCUAAAUACUACUUACAGAUCGAUAGUGAACAAGUACCGUGAGGGAAAGGUGAAAAGUACCCCAGUGAGGGGAGUGAAA